CCUACGGGUGGCAGCAGUGGGGAAUAUUGCGCAAUGGGCGAAAGCCUGACGCAGCGACGCCGCGUGAGGGAUGAAGGUCUUCGGAUCGUAAACCUCUGUCAGCAGGGAAGAACGGUCACUGUGCUAAUCAGCAGUGAAUUGACGGGACCUGCAAAGGAAGCACCGGCUAACUCCGUGCCAGCAGCCGCGGUAAUACGGGGGGUGCGAGCGUUAAUCGGAAUUACUGGGCGUAAAGCGCUCGUAGGCGGUAUGGCAAGUCAAGGGGGAAAUCCCCGCGCUCAACGUGGGAACUGCCUUUGAAACUGGCAAACUGGAGUGUGUGAGAGGAUAGUGGAAUUCGAGGUGUAGGAGUGAAAUCCGUAGAUAUCUGGAGGAACAUCAGUGGCGAAGGCGACUAUCUGGCACAUAACUGACGCUGAGGAGCGAAAGCGUGGGUAGCAAACAGGAUUAGAUACCCCUGUAGUC
RNAcentral lists this ribosomal RNA (465 nucleotides) under uncultured bacterium. RNAcentral's name for it is "partial 16S ribosomal RNA". It matches the Rfam family "Bacterial small subunit ribosomal RNA", at positions 338 to 795 of the family's 1533-position model. The record is from RNAcentral.